AGACGAACCGGACAAACGUUAUUCGGAAUCAUUGGGCUUAAAGGGUGCGUAGGCGGUGCGGAAAGUUGGGUGUGAAAUCCCUCGGCUCAACCGAGGCACUGCGCUCAAAACUUCCGUGCUAGAGUGAGACAGAGGUGAGCGGAACUGAUGGUGGAGCGGUGAAAUGCGUUGAUAUCAUCAGGAACACCGGUGGCGAAGGCGGCUCACUGGGUCUCUACUGACGCUGAGGCACGAAAGCUAAGGUAGCGAACAGGAUUAGAUACCCUAGUAGUCC
RNAcentral lists this ribosomal RNA (274 nucleotides) under uncultured bacterium. RNAcentral's name for it is "partial 16S ribosomal RNA". It matches the Rfam family "Bacterial small subunit ribosomal RNA", at positions 523 to 796 of the family's 1533-position model. The record is from RNAcentral.